CUUAAGCAUAUCAAUAAGCGGAGGAAAAGAAACCAACAGGGAUUGCCCUAGUAACGGCGAGUGAAGCGGCAACAGCUCAAAUUUGAAAUCUGGCGUAAGCCCGAGUUGUAAUUUGUAGAGGAUGCUUCUGGGUAGCGGCCGGUCUAAGUUCCUUGGAACAGGACGUCAUAGAGGGUGAGAAUCCCGUAUGUGACUGGCUUGCACCCUCCACGUAGCUCCUUCGACGAGUCGAGUUGUUUGGGAAUGCAGCUCUAAAUGGGAGGUAAAUUUCUUCUAAAGCUAAAUACCGGCCAGAGACCGAUAGCGCACAAGUAGAGUGAUCGAAAGAUGAAAAGCACUUUGGAAAGAGAGUUAAAAAGCACGUGAAAUUGUUGAAAGGGAAGCGCCCGCAACCAGACUUUGCGGCGGUGUUCGGCUGGUCUUCUGACCGGUUUACUCGCCGCCGUGAGGCCAUCAUCGUCUGGGACCGCUGGAUAAGACCUGAGGAAUGUAGCUCCCUUCGGGGUGUGUUAUAGCCUCUGGUGAUGCAGCGCGUCUCGGGCGAGGUCCGCGCUUCGGCAAGGAUGAUGGCGUAAUGGUUGUCGGCGGCCCGUCUUGAAACACGGACCAAGGAGUCUAACAUCUAUGCGAGUGUUCGGGUGUCAAACCCCUACGCGUAAUGAAAGUGAACGGAGGUGGGAACUUUUUGUGCACCAUCGACCGAUCCUGAUGUCCUCGGAUGGAUUUGAGUAAGAGCAUAGCUGUUGGGACCCGAAAGAUGGUGAACUAUGCCUGAAUAGGGUGAAGCCAGAGGAAACUCUGGUGGAGGCUCGCAGCGGUUCUGACGUGCAAAUCGAUCGUCAAAUUUGGGUAUAGGGGCGAAAGACUAAUCGAACCAU
RNAcentral lists this ribosomal RNA (878 nucleotides) under Pseudocercospora dingleyae. Its description in RNAcentral is "eukaryotic LSU rRNA". It matches the Rfam family "Eukaryotic large subunit ribosomal RNA", at positions 33 to 943 of the family's 3401-position model. RNAcentral also lists the same sequence under 1 other name. Lineage: Eukaryota; Fungi; Ascomycota; Dothideomycetes; Mycosphaerellales; Mycosphaerellaceae. The record is from RNAcentral.